UACGUAGGGUGCUAGCGUUGUCCGGAUUUAUUGGGCGUAAAGGGCUCGUAGGCGGCGUGUCGCGUCGGGGAGUGAAAGCCCGCUGCUUAACGGCGGGUUGGCUUCCGGUACGGGCAUGCUGGAGUGCGGCAGGGGAGACUGGAAUUCCUGGUGUAGCGGUGGAAUGCGCAGAUAUCAGGAGGAACACCGGUGGCGAAGGCGGGUCUCUGGGCCGAUAUUGACGCUGAGGAGCGAAAGCGUGGGGGAGCGAACAGG
RNAcentral lists this ribosomal RNA (255 nucleotides) under uncultured bacterium. RNAcentral describes it as "partial 16S ribosomal RNA". It matches the Rfam family "Bacterial small subunit ribosomal RNA", at positions 524 to 776 of the family's 1533-position model. The record is from RNAcentral.